This 467-nucleotide long non-coding RNA is filed under the name Apteryx rowi (Okarito brown kiwi). RNAcentral describes it as "lncRNA (ENSARWG00000007587.1)". Lineage: Eukaryota; Metazoa; Chordata; Aves; Apterygiformes; Apterygidae. The record is from RNAcentral.
GCCCGCCUCCUGCCGCCGCCCGCCAAUCAGCCCCGCGGCCCGCCGCCCGCCAAUCAGCGCCGAGGCUGAGCGGGGCUUCCGCUCCUCCUCCCUCGAGUGGGGCGCGGGAACAUCCGGAGCUUCGGAGGGUGGGCGCGUCGUUUGCGGGCUGUGUCCCGCGUCGCUGCGGCUGGGCCCGUCGGGGGCCUCCGGCCACGUCGGGGGCUGUUGUUCCUGCGUGGCAUUGUUCCUCCCCAUGUGUCAUCCCCAUGGAAGGACAAAGUCUGCUCAUAUGCCAUUUCUUGUAUCAGAAAUCUAAUGUGUGGGGUGAAAGAUCUACAGAAGGUUGUAGACAAAGACACUGCACAGAUGCAGCCAUCAACAACCUGCGCUCAUUACCACUUCAUCUAGGAGAGAACUAUGAUGAUGUGUUUCAGACUUUUUCAGAUGAAAUCCAGAGCAGUGUACAAUUCCUUAAUCCAAGAUGA